Molecule: unclassified non-coding RNA, 162 nt
Filed under: uncultured fungus
Lineage: Eukaryota; Fungi
Description: sequence contains ITS1
Source: RNAcentral
UUAACUAUUAAGUUUUUUCUCAGACUACACUGUAUACUUGGGUUUAAAUCCUCCGGCGGGAGUACCGCCGAGGCAACAGAGGUAUGGUAGACAAAGGGUGGGAGAUGUACCCCGAAGGGCAGGUUCUCUCUAAUGAUCCUUCCGCAGGUUCACCUACGGAAA